GGGGUUGUUUUAUUUGGGGCAAGAUGAGGGUGAUAGUCCGGGAGGCAGCUUUUCGGAGAGCUCUGAGGUACCGCUCCAAGGAGAUGGGGGAAGGGCACAAUACAGAUGUCAUUUGGGGGGGGAGGUGCGUGCAACCAAAGCACACGUUUUGCAGAAGGUCGCUGCUAGUCCCCUGAAGGCCGCUGCUGGUCACCAGGAGCAGACGUCACCACGGAGGAUUGUAGUGCUUUUGUAGGUACGAGGACAUGCGAGAGUUGGGCUCGUAAGAUCUUUUCCUGAAAAUUUCUAACCGUCUGAAGACCUGUCCUGCCAGUUGUCCCAGAGCACAGAGCCCCCACUCCCUGAGCUCCUUUCAGAGGCGUGGAGGGCGGUGGCUGCAGGGACUCGUGACUCAAUCCGUGCAGAGGCAGGUGGCGCGGGCUGGCCUCCCGCUCCCGCGAGGGUCCCCCAAGCCCGCCGGGGACGUGCCCACCUGGGAGUGGCAUUGCCUCGGUGCUCUCGGGAGCCCGCCCCCGACGCAUCCUGAACAGAGCCCACGUGGGGUGGCGUCCCUGCUGUUUAUCUCAGGGCACUCACCGGUAACACAGGUGACAGCCGUCCUUGCCCGAGACGUGGACGGGGUGCCGUCUGGGUGUCGAGUUCGUCCCCGAGCCGGGCAGAUGCCGAGCACUCUGGGAGCACCUGCGGCCGUUGCUGUCGCGGUGAUGGUCACGAAAUACCUGUCACCAGGGCCCCUGAGAGACGCUUACCUUGCACUUGCCUGACUUCGAAACGGUCAUCUGUUGGCAGGGCUGCUCCCACACCUGGGGACAGUGCAGAGAGCCCGGAGCAGUGGGGGAGGGGUACAGCCCGAGGUCAGCGGACCACCCACCCCCAGGCGUGGGAGGCCACAACCAGACGCGCCCCAGCCUCGCGGAGUCUCACGCCGUUGGUCCGCGUGCACUGCGUUUCUCCUGGGGCCUUGCAGCGUGGGCGUGACCUCUGCUUGUGAACGGACACCUGCGCGUGCUUUUCUCCGUGAAGCUCCCGGCAGCCAGAGCUGCUGGGAAGAGCAAAGAGGCCCAGAAAUCACGCGGCUGUUGGAGGAGUGACGUCGUUUAAGUGACGCUUGGGACUUCCUCUGCCUGGUCGGUGUCACUGGGCAGCCUCAAGGCAGGGACAGCCACAGUCACGUCACAACCGGGAGGAAGGCACAGGGCUGGGGGCCCAGGGAGCGGCAAAGCCGGGAGCCUGUCGGCACUGGCUCUGCCACCCGCUGGCUGUGACCCCAGGAGGGCUGGCUAAGCCCUCUGAGCCUCGGUUCUUCUGGAAAAUGGGGCUCGUGGGCCCCCUGAGAGGUUUGUGAGGCUCAGAAGGAUGAUGUGCUCGAGGGCCUGGGCGUCCGCAGCCGCAUUCGCCAACGUCACCGCGCUCGCUCCCCUGUGAGUGUGGGUGAGGAGGUUUCAUCAAAGAUGCCACCCGCUCGAGAGCCACGGGCCACCUUCUGAUGGGACGUCGGUGGAUUUACUGCUGAGGAGCUGGGACCGCCCCUCGGCAAGGAGCGUCUACACACACAACCCGCCUCAGAUCUGGAAUCGCAGCCUCCCCCAGCCUGUUUCUCUAUCUCCCAAGACACCUGCGCCUCUGUUUUCCUGAACAAUGGGCUGUGAAUUCGGCCCUGCACCUGGAGACGCCCCCCUUACGUGGGCUGAGAACCUCGGAGACUUAAGCCUCGUGACACCCCCUGGGGCGUGGGCGCCACGGAUGAGCCCUGCUGCGCCCAUCAGCGCCCGUGCGCGCAGGUGCCGGAACCAGAAAUUAGGACUAGGAAGCAAGGGUUUAUCAAGGCCAUCGGGGGGAUGGGGGGUCUGCCUGGAAAAUGCAGGUCACUCAGCCCAGGCUGCACAGUGUGGCCGCUUCCGCUGCUGCUUCCUGGACAGAAAAUGGCCUUGGGUGACACAGAGUCAGCGCCGGUGUUGGCAGGCCCCCGGUUCAUUUAGAAGGAAACCAGGGGCGGGCAGCUUUCUCGUGCCCCACCGUCAGCGACACGCGGGGCGGAAAGUCCUCGGUUUUGCUUUGCGAGGGGGGUUGUAACACCCCUGAGGCCGUGUUUUCUCCGAGGAGACGUGGCUAAAGGAAGGCGACGCCCGCGUGACAACAGAUAUUCUUAUUUAGGGAGAACCGAGCAGGCGCUUCAGAGAGUUCCCGGCGCUCCCCGUGCCGGCGCGUCCCCGCUACGGACACCUUGGUGAGCGGGAGCUGGUGAAGCUGCGCCCACACGGCACCCACCCCCCGCCAGGGCCCUCAGUCUGCCCGAGGGCUCGCUCUCGUGCUGGACCCGCUGUGGGUUUGGACGGGGCACAGGGGCGUGUGUCCUCCGUGACGGUGGCACCGCGUCCCACUGCCCGAGCCCCGCGCUCUGCCUGUUCAUCCUCCCUCAACCCGCCGCCCACGCUCCUACUGUCGCCAUGCUUUCGACUUUUCCAGAAGGUCUUGUGGUUGGACUUGCACAGUCUGCAGCCUUUUCAGACGGACCCCCUCCCUGUGGGUGGGUGUAGGCCCCCCUCCCUGUGGGUGGGUGUGCGUGUAGGGACCCCCCCCUCCCCGUGGGCGUAUGUUUACGUUUCCCCCACGUCUCGCCGUGAUGGGGAGCUCCUUGGGUAUCGGUUUGGGAGCUACAAGGGAACUGGAAUGUGUGCGUUUAUCCUACUACUAUUUCCUGGGUGCCAGAGGGCCCUGGUAGUAGGUUCUGGAAUUCACAGUGGGGAGCUCAGGCUCCGCGUCCACCAGCCCAGCUUACUUGGCCCAAGUGGUUGGAGCCACAUGAGCAAGGCGGUGGCCUUGGGGGUCUGAAGGAUGGCCCCCAGCAUCCUGGGGGGCUGGGCAGGGGAGGGCGUCCCUGCACAUGGGUGGAGGGCAGCGAGCGGGGUGCAGGACGGGGUGCAACAGGCCUGGGUGCUGAGCCACUGACCGCGAGGAGGGGGACCAAGGGGCGCUUCAGGCGGCCCCCAGUGGGGACACGCACCACACAGGAUCCCUCCGGGCCCACUUCUCCCACGAAGGUGAGGCUUUCCUGGGGGUGGAGGCAAGAGUGCACGUGCAGUGUGUGCGCAGGAAACCCGGGCGUGUGUGAGGGAGGGGACGUGCACCCACCCAGCCGGAGGGGGCAGCGGCCGGAAGGGAGGGCAGGGAGGGGCCCCUCUUGGUCUGAGGUUUCCCGCGGAGGCGGAGCUGGCCCUGGUUCUCAGCAGGGCCCUGAGGGGACCCGGGUAGAGGGCAUGUGACACGGACUGUGUUCUGCUGAAGGCGGGGCCUCCCUGGGAGGAAGGGUCCCAGCGGGAUUGAGCCCACACCAGGUUAAGUCUAAAAGCCCAGCUGGGGGGCCAGCAGGGUUGGUCCCCGUGGACACGUCCCCGGAGCGGCAGGCCUCCCAGGCCUCGGGGGCGACAGUGGAGCCGCCCUGUGCCCAUGGCACCAAGACACCCACCGCAGCAGAGCAAGCCGGUCCUAGGCACUGGCUGGUGGGUCCACUCCUGGGUUUUGCGUGCCAGCCGCCGCACGAGGGGUGCCCAACCUCCCAGCUUAUGCCUUUGGGGCUCAGCCCAAGUCCUGCCCAUGGAGAGGGUCAGUGGUGCCCCACCCUUUGCUGGAAAUGGAGCUUUUCCAAAUUCCAUGAACAAGGCCACCUGGGGAAGCAGAGCUGAGCAAAGCAAGAGCAGGAGAAAACAGGAAAAUGCCGCCAGCCACGGUCGGGGCUCCGUCCUGGCCCUGAUAGCGCCUCCCAGGUCCAGGCACACCCAGGGACCCGCCAGUGGCCCUGCUCAGGCUGACUGCCCGGGGCCGGCCUGGCGGGCAGGGCAGGAGAUGUUGGCUCGGAGAGCACAGCAACCUGGGGGCUGCGAAGAGCCCCUCCCCAGGGGGUCGCUCCGGCUGGACCACCAUGCCAGGCCCAGGAUGGUACAACCCGCCCACCGUCCGUCUGCCUCUGUGACCACAGGCUCCGGCUCUUUGAACAGUGUCCACGUGAAGGGGCAGGCAGUUCCCCGUCACACCGCCCUUGGUCACCCCUGAAGUGAACAAAGCUCUGGGAAGAGAGGGAUCAGCAGCGAGGUCAAGCCGGGAAGGCCCCUCGGCGGAGGCGCGUGCGGGGUGGAGGGUGAUGCGGGGUGCUUGGGCGCCAAGGCUUAGCACCUGGAGUGCUUGGGGCUGAGCUAUGGGGGGAGUCAGGGUACAAGUGAGCUUGGGGAUGUGAGGGUGAGAACAGCGGGGGAGUCCCCUCCGGGGCACCUAGAGGGCAUCGGCUUUGGGGCCACAGGGCCCGGCAGACACCCCUCUCCGACCGUGUGCCCGUCAGUGGAGCAGCGGAGGUCGGGGCAGGGAGGUGGGCUCUCGGUGGCCACCUGACCCUUCUCCCCUGGGCUUCAGCUACAUCUGCGGAGGGCAGGCAUCACCUCGUGCCAUGGGCUCCUCCCUAACGUCCAGGUCCCCUCCAGGGGACAGGUCCCGCUUCAGAGAAUCAAGGGAAAACAGGCGUCCCCACCAGGGCCCUGCACAGAGGGACCCCCUCCAGGGCCCCCUCACAAGGCCUCCUCUCCUACCUUGACCUUGACCUGAAGCAUGAGCUGUCCCCGAGCCCUCUGACCUCCUCCCAGCACCUGCACGGUGCCUGGAACACGGAGACGCCAGGAGUGUGGGGCGCUGGCUGGAAGGAGGAGGAGGCAGGCUCUGGGGGUGGACUCUUUCUUCCUCAGCACCCCCCGCCCCCCAGCUACGAGCUCCCUCUGGCUCAUUUGAUCUUUCUCAGCUCAGCUAACAAGAAAAGCAGUAAAAGGGGGUGUUUCUUAACCACGGUGGGAGUCUCCAGCAGGCAGACUCAGGGAGACACGGUCCACUGCCCUGUAAAUGUCAGCAGGCUGCUGCCGAUGGGGAGGUGGGCCUGCGUGUCACUCAGUCCUGUCCCC
Molecule: long non-coding RNA, 4940 nt
Filed under: Sus scrofa (pig)
Lineage: Eukaryota; Metazoa; Chordata; Mammalia; Artiodactyla; Suidae
Description: lncRNA (ENSSSCG00015019398.1)
Source: RNAcentral